UCGAUCUCUCUCCGUCUCUCGAUUGUCACUUGCUUCUCUCGAAGGCCGAGCUCCGCCCCUAGUCUCACCAGCUACUUCUACUUCCAGUCCACCGGUGGUCGGCAUCUCCUAGAUUAGGGGCUUUAAUCUCUGACCAUGUAAGUGUAUCAAAUAUCCCUAAAGUCGAAACCCCAAUCCUCCCCCACCCAAGUCCGCAGGCAGCAACUGAACUGCCAUCUGCCAUCGCCUCCCGCCAGGCACCACCGCACCAGCUUCCACCUCUAAAGAAGCUUCUAUUUGUUGCACCCAUGUGAAGGUUCUACAGUGCAGAUUCUCACACAAGGAAAACUUGGUUGAGAUCAAGAAGGCUGAACCAAAGAAACCCUCAAACCCAACACUUGCUUCUGCACCCAAUAGUGAUUCUAGGGGCCGUUCAUUUGGCGAUAGGUUUGGUGGAUUCGGCAAAAACUGUUCAAUACAGACUCUGACAAGUUUAUUUUCAUUACUUUUACUUUUCAUUACAUUUUUAUUUCCAUUACAAAUUGGCAAAAAUUACCUGUGGUGUUGGCGUUGGUGACGAAGCCAUUGUUUGACACUUUGACGGAAGAGAACGCCGCAAACAGGAAUUGGGAAAGGAUUAAUGAGGCAGCCGACAGGGGAUAGGAAUUUUUUAUAGGUUUAGCAGUGGGCAAAUUGUUUUGGGCAAGAUUUAUAUAUUUGGAUUUAGUAAUUAAAAUGGGCCAAAAGAAUUGAAUUUAAUAUUUUUUUUAGGUUGAAUUAAGAAGCCCAUUUAGUUUAAGUUAUAAAUAUUAAGUUAU
Olea europaea var. sylvestris is the source of this 797-nucleotide long non-coding RNA. RefSeq lists it as uncharacterized. The transcript is spliced from 3 exons. NCBI's taxonomy places the organism in Eukaryota, Viridiplantae, Streptophyta, Magnoliopsida, Lamiales, Oleaceae. The record is from RefSeq and is a predicted model, not a curated record.